AAGCCCCCGAGAAAUGAACAGAACAGAGUGGUUAGGUGAAGAAGAAGAAGAAGAAGAAGAGUGAAAAACUCUCCAAAUGUUCCGUGCCUUUUACCUUCAUCUUCUUGUUCUUUCAGCCCUGCCGCUACAGUCUCUUCUGCGUUUGAUCGUCAAUCGUCGUUUAUUGAGGCAUGGAUUCAGUCAGUGGUGUAGGUGGAAAUUUUUGUGGCAAUAUUUUGUUUGCCCAAGAGAAUUGGACACUGGGAAAUGCAGAAACUCUAUUUCAUUAAAACAUAUGGCAUGUCAGGUUUUUGGCUUCUUAGGAGGCCAGAAGUAAUUUCCAUUUUUCUGUGCAAAGUUUGCUUCGUUUCCCAUCCUUGAAAGUUUAAAUUCUGUCUUUUCAACAUCACAUCAUCCAAUUACCCUUGCAGGGAGCUGAUGUUGAUAGAAAUGCUUGAUUUCUGGCAGAAGCGAUUGUUAACGGAUCCUGUGAACAUAAAUAGCUUAUUUCCAUUGGAAGACAUGCUAGAGGAUCUGGAGUUCAGGACAUGGAUGCACAAUGAGUAGUUUGACAUACGUUUUAUGUGCAAACUUAUAUAAUCCUUGGGAGAUGAUAACAGAAUUACAGUAAAAAAGUUUCAUUUGGAAGUCUUUCACAUUCUUAUUCUGGCAAUGGCUGAUCUUUGUGCAGGUAUUCUCUCUCAGCUGUUGUAACUUUAAAGACCGAGGCAAAAAACGGGUCGAAGAUAACUAAAACUCGCCAGACUCCUAUAGAGCUGGAAUGAACCCGGAACUCGUAAAUUGUAUGUGAGUUAUUUUUGUUGGAAUUGUUUUACUUAGCUUUUUGAACAUUCUGAACUAGAAAUGCCCAGAAAUCCUCAAGCCCUUUAGUGAUACAGCAUGUGGCAAGAUAGAUAGCAAGUUUUGUGCAACCAUGAAAAUUGUUUCUUUUUAACCAUCAUUCUCUGCUGUGUUUGAACUGUGAAUUUCUUGUAGACAUAGCAAGUAAUGGUUGGUGAGGCCUGUCAUUUUCUUUGUC
Non-coding RNA from Cucurbita pepo subsp. pepo (vegetable marrow), 1018 nucleotides. Lineage: Eukaryota; Viridiplantae; Streptophyta; Magnoliopsida; Cucurbitales; Cucurbitaceae. The record is from RefSeq and is a predicted model, not a curated record.